UUGUUUAUUUCAGGAUUAGGAAGAACCUGGACGAGAUCCGGGAAAACAGCCUUAUAUAUGGAUGUAGCAGAGUUUUUUAAAAGUGCAUCCGUUUCGUAGACGCUUAAUUCAAAGCUAACAAAGUCGUAAGCUAUAACAAAUUCGCCAUUUGAAGAAAAGGACACCAUAGAAAACUUUGCAUCAGGCAACGAUACAUGACGAAUGCUUGCAGAGUCUUUGAGAACGUUAGCGUCAACAUUUUCAUCAGCGUCAAUGAGGGACUUUUGUAAGUCUAAAGUGGAACCAAUAAUUAAGUAAUUAGGGACGCCUGCAACAAAAAGACUUUUCAAGUUAUUAAUUGCGAAUAAAUUGCUAUAUUCUGGGAGACCUAAGGAAGAAUUGCUUAAACUACUAGUAGCACCAAUUUUUAAAGCCGCAAACGAAAGAAACUGCAAGAAAAGUUAAUACACAAUACAACUAAUGUACGUACUUCAAUGUCUUCCUCUUCAAUUUCGCUUUCAGUGACUUGUGA
This is a non-coding RNA of Schizosaccharomyces pombe (fission yeast), 511 nucleotides long. NCBI's taxonomy places the organism in Eukaryota, Fungi, Ascomycota, Schizosaccharomycetes, Schizosaccharomycetales, Schizosaccharomycetaceae. The record is from the annotation of a GenBank genome assembly.